This is a long non-coding RNA of Hippocampus zosterae (dwarf seahorse), 203 nucleotides long. RefSeq lists it as uncharacterized. Lineage: Eukaryota; Metazoa; Chordata; Actinopteri; Syngnathiformes; Syngnathidae. The transcript has 2 exons. The record is from RefSeq and is a predicted model, not a curated record.
GCGGGAGAAAGAACGAGUCCAAAGAAUAAUUUGUCAAGAGUGCGUAAUCUGCCGCGUCGCGGGCUCAACUCUGGAAGACGAGACAUUUUAGAGGACAAAUAGCGGCACUGUGAGGACGUCACAUGACCCCGCCACAUUAACCGCCACGCUUGACGCGAAGCUGUCAUGCUAAAAAAAAAAAAAAAAAACCAACACAAAACAAA